RNAcentral lists this ribosomal RNA (459 nucleotides) under uncultured bacterium. RNAcentral describes it as "partial 16S ribosomal RNA". It matches the Rfam family "Bacterial small subunit ribosomal RNA", at positions 338 to 795 of the family's 1533-position model. The record is from RNAcentral.
CCUACGGGAGGCAGCAGUGAGGAAUAUUGGUCAAUGGCCGGAAGGCUGAACCAGCCAAGCCGCGUGAAGGACGAAGGUGCCAAGCAUUGUAAACUUCUUUUGUCAAGGGACAAAAUCAGGCUCGAGAGCCUGACCGAGGGUACUUGAAGAAAAAGCAUCGGCUAACUCCGUGCCAGCAGCCGCGGUAAUACGGAGGAUGCGAGCGUUAUCCGGAUUUAUUGGGUUUAAAGGGUGCGUAGGCGGACUGUUAAGUCAGCGGUAAAAGCCCGGGGCUCAACCCGGGCGAGCCGUUGAAACUGGCGGUCUUGAGAUGUCGAGAGGUAUGCGGAAUGCGCAGUGUAGCGGUGAAAUGCUUAGAUAUUGCGCAGAACUCCGAUUGCGAAGGCAGCAUACCGGCGGCGAUCUGACGCUGAGGCACGAAAGCGUGGGUAUCGAACAGGAUUAGAUACCCCAGUAGUC